Molecule: long non-coding RNA, 1506 nt
Organism: Hibiscus syriacus
Lineage: Eukaryota; Viridiplantae; Streptophyta; Magnoliopsida; Malvales; Malvaceae
Exons: 8
Source: RefSeq, a predicted model, not a curated record
UUUCAGGCAAAAAAAGAUUGGGGAAUAAGAUGCUGAAUUUCGAAGAACACUGUAACAUAUUGAACUUGUUGAAAUCGUCAUCUGAGCAAAAAUCAAUCGAAGAAACAAUCAAUGAAUUCUUCAGCAAUUUCAAGCUCCGUUAUUUCAAUGUCUGCUAUUCUCGUACUUUUUUAUUGCAGCAGUUGAUUUCCGAUUUAUCCCACGGCAGUCCUUUUCUUUUUUGUUGUCUGAAGUACAUCUUACCCAAAUCAUACGAGGAUUCUCUUGUUCUUUUGAAUGUCUGUUGGAUGUUAGUACCUGAAAUAUCAGACUCUGGGUGGUUUCCACCAGCUGUGCUUGGAAUGCUUUCAACGGGAUAACUCGUGCCGAUAAAAUUAGCAGAAGAAGCGGGUUGAAUGUUUUUAUUAUCAGGGGGACAUGGAGGCAAAGGCGAAAAUGGGUGGAAAGGCAUGCCAGGGGCUAACCUCCAAGUUUCUAAACUUUCAUCUUAUGGUGAUCCAAACUGCUACAGAAAGAGGAGUGGUAUUCCAUAUGAAACCGACAAACGGGAUAUGAAUCUCUUCUGCUGAUGAACAACAACCACAUUAGGAAACUUUGACGGACAAACUUUUGGUUGAGGAAACCUGUAGCAGUUGGAGCAGCAGGUGAAACCAAAGAUGUAUUUAGAGGAAAGGAGAACCCUAGUGGAGCAUCCUGCUGAAAACUUUGAUUUGCAUUAUCAAUAUUAGUAGCUUCACCUUUGUGAUACACUUGGUUCUUUUGUAUAUGUUCCAUGUGAAGUGAUUAAGCAACGCAUGCAGGUUCAAGGCUCAGGAAACUCUAGGAAUUCUGCUAUCAUGAAUGACCAAUUGCGAAUGAAAUCUGGUGAACAAAUGUAUGGUUAUUACACUGGAAUGUUCCAAGUUGGAUGUUCAAUAUGGAAAGAGCAAGGACUAAAGGGAUUAUAUGCUGAGUCAAGGUCGUCGAUUCUUGGUGAGCCGUUAUUACAAAAGGUUAAAGAGAGCUGCACUCGUCGCACAAUGUGCUUGGAGAGCAAAACUUGCGCGUAGAGAAUUACGCAAACUAAAAAUGGCUGCCCAGAAAACUGAAUCCCUGCUAGAGGCCAACUGUCAGCUGGAAAAAGCAAGUUGAAGAACUUACAUGGCAGUUGCAGAAGUUGCAACGUGAGAAGGAAAAUUGGGGCGCAAACAAAACUUCCGGAAAAGUUCCUGUCACUCAAGGGGUCACGGUAGUUGACAAUGAAACGAUGAAUAAACUUACUACUGAAAAUGAACAGCUUAAGGCUCAGGUAGCUACACUAGAACAGAUUUGCGAAGUGCGGCUAAAGCAGGCUACAGAGGCUGAGAUGAGGAUAAUUGACUUAAAAACUGCGAUGCAAAGAAGACAAGAUUUCAGACAUGGAAACCGAGGAUAAGGUUUUGAGACAGCAAGCUUUGUUGAGUGCACCUAGUAGAAAAAUGUCAUCUCAAUUGUCAUUUACAAUACCUGCACCUGUGCAAAAUGCUC